This 465-nucleotide ribosomal RNA is filed under the name uncultured bacterium. Its description in RNAcentral is "bacterial SSU rRNA". It matches the Rfam family "Bacterial small subunit ribosomal RNA", at positions 198 to 644 of the family's 1533-position model. The record is from RNAcentral.
GGAGGAAAGCAGGGGAUCGCAAGACCUUGCGCUAAAGGAGCGGCCGAUGUCUGAUUAGCUAGUUGGUGGGGUAAAGGCUUACCAAGGCAACGAUCAGUAGUUGGUCUGAGAGGACGACCAACCACACUGGGACUGAGACACGGCCCAGACUCCUACGGGAGGCAGCAGUGGGGAAUUUUGGACAAUGGGCGAAAGCCUGAUCCAGCCAUUCCGCGUGAGUGAAGAAGGCCUUCGGGUUGUAAAGCUCUUUUAGUCGGAAAGAAAGAGUUGCAAUGAAUAAUUGUGAUUUAUGACGGUACCGACAGAAAAAGCACCGGCUAAAUACGUGCCAGCAGCCGCGGUAAUACGUAGGGUGCGAGCGUUAAUCGGAAUUACUGGGCGUAAAGGGUGCGCAGGCGGUCUUGCAAGUCAGAUGUGAAAGCCCCGGGCUUAACCUGGGAAUUGCGUUUGAAACUACAAAGCUAG